AGGACGCAUUUAUCAGAUCAAAGUCAAUGUGUUCGCAAGAACUCUAAACUGUGAUGACUCUGGGUAAAUUAUCGGAUUGAUCUGCUUUUAAGCAGGCGACGUUGAUUGCAAGUGUCUGACCUAUCAACUUUUGAUGGCAGUCGACAUUACUGCCAUGGUUGUAACGGGUAACGGGGAAUCAGGGUUCGAUUCCGGAGAGAGAGCAUGAGAAAUGGCUGUCACAUCCAAGGAAGGCAGCAGGCGCGCAAAUUACCCAAUCCCUGAUCGGGGAGGUAGUGACGAGAAAUAUCAGUACCGGCAUUUUGUUUGGUAAUUGAAAUGAGAACAAUGAAAGAAUUUUAUCGAGUAUCUAUUGGAGGGCAAGCUCUGGUGCCAGCAGCCGCGGUAAUACCAGCUCGAAAAGCGUAUGUUAAAGUUGCUGCGGUUAAAACGCUCGUCGUUGGACAUCAGGAAAAACUCUGCGGACGAUCGAGUAUCGUUUCCGUGGAUGUAUUCCUUUAUACACCUUUUCUCUGUCGUGCACUUUAAUGUGUGGGGCGGUAGAUGGUGAUUGUCACUUUGAGAAAAUUAGUGUGCUCAACACAGGCUUUAUGCUUGUAUAAUGCUGCAUGGGAUGACGGAAUAGGGCCUCGGUUCCGUUUCGUUGGCUUACGAAAGCAGAGGUCAUGAUUAAUCGGGACAGACGGGGGCAUUCGUAUUGUGGUGCUAGAAGUGAAAUUCUGUGACCAUCGCAAGACGAACAACUGCGAAAGCAUUUGCCAAGAAUGU
RNAcentral lists this ribosomal RNA (768 nucleotides) under Pseudoacanthocephalus sp. 2 CK-2021. RNAcentral's name for it is "SSU rRNA". It matches the Rfam family "Eukaryotic small subunit ribosomal RNA", at positions 198 to 967 of the family's 1831-position model. The record is from RNAcentral. Lineage: Eukaryota; Metazoa; Acanthocephala; Palaeacanthocephala; Echinorhynchida; Pseudoacanthocephalidae.